RNAcentral lists this ribosomal RNA (253 nucleotides) under uncultured bacterium. RNAcentral's name for it is "partial 16S ribosomal RNA". It matches the Rfam family "Bacterial small subunit ribosomal RNA", at positions 524 to 776 of the family's 1533-position model. The record is from RNAcentral.
UACAGAGGUGGCAAGCGUUGUUCGGAAUUACUGGGCGUAAAGGGCGCGUAGGCGGCCCUCUAAGUCAGACGUGAAAUCCCCCGGCUUAGCCUGGGAACUGCGUCUGAUACUGGAGGGCUUGAGUAUGGGAGAGGGAUGUAGAAUUCCAGGUGUAGCGGUGAAAUGCGUAGAUAUCUGGAGGAAUACCGGUGGCGAAGGCGGCAUCCUGGACCAUUACUGACGCUGAGGCGCGAAAGCUAGGGGAGCAAACGGG